UAAUUGAGUUUGAUGAUGGCUCUGAAUGAACGCUAUCCAAAUGCUUGACACAUGCUAAUCGUACGACUAGUUAGAAAUAAAUUUAAAAAAUUAGUUUUAAAAUUUUUAACUAGUAGUGGUGUACAGGUGAGUAAAAGAUAUAUAACCACCUUAGAAUAAGGAGAAAAAUCCCUUAUAGUUAUAAAGAAAUGAAAAUUUCGUUCUAAGAAGUUUAUAUCUCGCGCGAUGGUAAUAGCCUAGGUUAAUACUUAGCUAGCUUAAAGUGCGUAGUCGAAACUGAAAGGUUGAUCGAUCACAAUGGGCCUGAACAAAGCCCAUGAUGUAUAUUACAGCAGUGAGGAAUAUUGGUCAAUAGCCUAACGGCUGAACCAGCAACUUGGAAGAAUGUAUAGCAAUUGCUAACUGCACUAAAAAUUUUAGUGUAAAAUCGAAUUAGUCGAAUAAAAUUCUAGGUAGUAAUAUGAUAAUGACAUUAUCUAUCUAUAAGUCUUGACCAAAUUACGUGCCAGCAGUCGCGGUAAUACGUAGAAGACAAGUGUUAUUCAUCUUUAAUAGGUUUAAAGGGUACUUAGACGGUAAAUCAAGCCUAAAAAAGGGACUAAUUUGCUAGAGUUUUAUGUGAACAAGUAUUAAAGUACUACUGGUGUAGAGAUGAAAUUCUGUAAUACCUUGGAUGGCACAGGUUAAGGCGAAAGCAUCUUUUUAUGUAAAAACUGACGUUGAAGGACGAAGGCUUUGUGUCUCGAACAGGAUUAGGUACCCUAGUAGUCUAAGCAGACAAUGAUGAAUGUCAUAGGUUAGAUAAAAUUUGAUCUAUAAAUGAAAGUGUAAGCAUUCCACCUCAAGAGUAAUUUGGCAACAUUGGAACUGAAAUCAUUAGACCGUUUCUGAAACCAGUAGUGAAGUAUGUUGUUUAAUUUGAUAAUCCGCAAAAAACCUUACCACCUUAAUUUGAAUAGAUAUAUUUUAUCAUACAAGCGUUGCACGGCUGUCUUCAGUUAAUGUCGUGAGAUUUUGGUUAGUUCCAUAAAAUUAACGUAAACCCUUACUUUAUUUUAAAAUAAAGUAGCUCACCGCUAUAUUGGAUGUGAUAAUAGGGAUCAAGACAAGUCAUCAUGACCUGAAUAUUGUGGGCUAUAGACGUGCCACAUAUGCCUUACAAAGAGAUGCUAAAUUGUGAAAUUGAGCUAAUCUUCUAAAAUUGGAUAUAAACUUAAUGGAUUGUAGUCUGUAAUUCGACUAUAUGAAAAAGGAAUUACUAGUAAUCGUGUAAAAGUACGACACGGUGGAUUUAAUCUCAGAUAGGUACUAACCACUCGUCAGGCGCUGAAAGAAGUAUGUGCAAUAAGUUUGGUUGCUCUUUACUAUUAAUUUGGACAAUUAGGUCUAGAAUAGUAGAUAGGUAAUUUUCGUAUGCGUGACUUUGAUUAGUGUUAAGUCGAAAUAUGGUUCGUGUAGUGGAAGUUGCACGGGAUUAAUUAA
RNAcentral lists this ribosomal RNA (1482 nucleotides) under Obscuroplaca camptidia. Its description in RNAcentral is "SSU rRNA". It matches the Rfam family "Bacterial small subunit ribosomal RNA". The record is from RNAcentral. Lineage: Eukaryota; Fungi; Ascomycota; Lecanoromycetes; Teloschistales; Teloschistaceae.